This 87-nucleotide transfer RNA is filed under the name Candidatus Arsenophonus lipoptenae. RNAcentral's name for it is "Arsenophonus symbiont of Lipoptena fortisetosa tRNA". It matches the Rfam family "tRNA". Rfam says of the family: Transfer RNA (tRNA) molecules are approximately 80 nucleotides in length. Their secondary structure includes four short double-helical elements and three loops (D, anti-codon, and T loops). Further hydrogen bonds mediate the characteristic L-shaped molecular structure. tRNAs have two regions of fundamental functional importance: the anti-codon, which is responsible for specific mRNA codon recognition, and the 3' end, to which the tRNAs corresponding amino acid is attached (by aminoacyl-tRNA synthetases). tRNAs cope with the degeneracy of the genetic code in two manners: having more than one tRNA (with a specific anti-codon) for a particular amino acid; and 'wobble' base-pairing, i.e. permitting non-standard base-pairing at the 3rd anti-codon position. The record is from Rfam by way of RNAcentral. Lineage: Bacteria; Pseudomonadati; Pseudomonadota; Gammaproteobacteria; Enterobacterales; Morganellaceae.
GCCGAGGUGGUGAAAUUGGUAUACAUGCUAUCUUGAGGGGGUAGUGCUCAAUACAAGAGCAUACGGGUUCAAGUCCCGUCCUCGGCA